CCUACGGGUGGCAGCAGUGGGGAAUAUUGGGCAAUGGGCGCAAGCCUGACCCAGCAACGCCGCGUGAAGGAAGAAGGCUUUCGGGUUGUAAAACUCUUUUAAGAGGGAAGAGCAGAAGACGGUACCUCUUGAAUAAGCCACGCCUUACUACGUGCCAGCAGCCGCGGUAAUACGUGGGUGGCAAGCGGUGUCCGGAUUUACUGGGUGUACAGGGCGUGCAGCCGGGAAGGCAAGUCAGAUGUGAAAGCCCGCGGCUCAACCGCGGAACUGCAUUUGAAACUGGUUUUCUUGAGUACCGGAGAGGUCAGCGGAAUUCCUUGUGUAGCGGUGAAAUGCGUAGAUAUAAGGAAGAACACCAGUGGCGAAGGCGGAUGACUGGACGGCAACUGACGGUGAGGCGCGAAAGCGUGGGGAGCAAACAGGAUUAGAUACCCCUGUAGUC
RNAcentral lists this ribosomal RNA (442 nucleotides) under uncultured bacterium. RNAcentral describes it as "partial 16S ribosomal RNA". It matches the Rfam family "Bacterial small subunit ribosomal RNA", at positions 338 to 795 of the family's 1533-position model. The record is from RNAcentral.